This 34-nucleotide transfer RNA is filed under the name Ruellia amoena. Its description in RNAcentral is "partial tRNA-Phe". Lineage: Eukaryota; Viridiplantae; Streptophyta; Magnoliopsida; Lamiales; Acanthaceae. The record is from RNAcentral.
CGAGGAUUUUCAGUCCUCUGCUCUACCAGCUGAG